Molecule: ribosomal RNA, 497 nt
Filed under: uncultured bacterium
Lineage: Bacteria
Description: partial 16S ribosomal RNA
Rfam family: Bacterial small subunit ribosomal RNA
Source: RNAcentral
GAUGAACGCUGGCGGCGUGCCUAAUACAUGCAAGUCGAGCGAACAGACGAGGAGCUUGCUCCUCUGACGUUAGCGGCGGACGGGUGAAUAACACGUGGAUAACCUACCUAUAAGACUGGGAUAACUUCGGGAAACCGGAGCUAAUACCGGAUAAUAUAUUGAACCGCAUGGUUCAAUAGUGAAAGACGGUUUUGCUGUCACUUAUAGAUGGAUCCGCGCCGCAUUAGCUAGUUGGUAAGGUAACGGCUUACCAAGGCAACGAUGCGUAGCCGACCUGAGAGGGUGAUCGGCCACACUGGAACUGAGACACGGUCCAGACUCCUACGGGAGGCAGCAGUAGGGACUCUUCCGCAAUGGGCGAAAGCUUGACGGAGCAACGCCGCGUGAGUGAUGAAGGUCUUCGGAUCGUAAAACUCUGUUAUUAGGGAAGAACAAAUGUGUAAGUAACUAUGCACGUCUUGACGGUACCUAAUCAGAAAGCCACGGCUAACUACGUG